Molecule: ribosomal RNA, 372 nt
Filed under: uncultured Achromobacter sp.
Lineage: Bacteria; Pseudomonadati; Pseudomonadota; Betaproteobacteria; Burkholderiales; Alcaligenaceae
Description: bacterial SSU rRNA
Rfam family: Bacterial small subunit ribosomal RNA
Source: RNAcentral
AGAUGAGCACUGGGUAUAAAGUGUGCGCAGGCGGUUCGGAAAGAAAGAUGUGAAAUCCCAGAGCUUAACUUUGGAACUGCAUUUUUAACUACCGAGCUAGAGUGUGUCAGAGGGAGGUGGAAUUCCGCGUGUAGCAGUGAAAUGCGUAGAUAUGCGGAGGAACACCGAUGGCGAAGGCAGCCUCCUGGGAUAACACUGACGCUCAUGCACGAAAGCGUGGGGAGCAAACAGGAUUAGAUACCCUGGUAGUCCACGCCCUAAACGAUGUCAACUAGCUGUUGGGGCCUUCGGGCCUUGGUAGCGCAGCUAACGCGUGAAGUUGACCGCCUGGGGAGUACGGUCGCAAGAUUAAAACUUAAAAAAUUAAGACGG